RNAcentral lists this long non-coding RNA (3876 nucleotides) under Solanum lycopersicum (tomato). Its description in RNAcentral is "partial TCONS_00119005". The record is from RNAcentral. Lineage: Eukaryota; Viridiplantae; Streptophyta; Magnoliopsida; Solanales; Solanaceae.
AAGUACAUACAAAAUUUCUGUAUACUCGUUAUUUUAAUAUAUAUAAAAACGUAUAUAUAUUAGCCGUUAUUAUUUUGAUAAAGAAUAUAUCGCACGAAAAAUCAUGAAUCAGCCAACUAUUGGGCCUCAUGGCAUAAAUUUCGAAGAAAAUCAUUUCUGAGCCUGGCCCCAAAAAAGGUUGAAAUCGCCGGGACAAUUCACACAGCCAAUUGAAUAGCGAGCCUUGUGUGUCUGCAAUGGAAGAAGCGAAAGAGAUCCAGUUAAGGUGUUUACAGUGGUGGAGUAUUGAUGGAUAACGGAUGCUAUUGUUCCGGAGUUGUAAUUCUUCGUAAUCAGCUGAAAACCGAAUCCUUCAUGAUGUUUUACUAAUAUACGAUCUUGGAGUAACAACAACAAUAACAUACCAAAUGUAAUCUCACAAGUGGAGGCGGGGGUGCGUUGAGUGUAUGCAAACGUUAUCCCUACCUCAUGGAGGUGGAGAGGCUAUUUCCUAAAGACCCUCGGCGCUAGAGCAACAAAUCAAAGUAGCUAUGGAAAAGGAAACACAACAUUAAAUAUACACAAUCUUGGAGUUGCUAAAUGAUUAUUGUGUCUCUUUCUAUUUCUGAUUAUUGAGUUUUGUGAUGUUGCUUAUCGCUUUCUUUGUAGCUUUCUUCUAGUGAGAAAUAAAAGUGGUCUAUUGAUGUUAUCAAAGUCACAAACUGCGAGUCUUAGGUGUUAGGUCUAGUGGAUAUCUCAUUACAAGAUAAUAAAAAGAAUGGUGAAAUUUUUAAUUUCUUUGCUUUAUCUAUUAAGGAAGGUGCUAGACUUCAAGGAAUUCAGAAAGACUCCUCAUUGUGUUGGGCAUCACAUUGAUAGUUGAAUUGAGGAGUUCAACAGAAACUCUGCAUUUGCAUUAGCCUAAGGUCUAUAAAUGUUCAAUUUGUUAAAUUGCUUGUGUUUAGUAUUUGAUUAGCAGAAUCUUGAAAUUUCUUACCAACGUUUUCAUCGGUAGUUCUAGAUAGUCUUAAAGAAGAAAGUAGGAAAGUAAGUUUUGGGGGACUAGCUGCUACUGUGCAGAUGAAUACAAUUUCAUUGAGAAGUUUGUGAAGAUAAAUACAACAGUAGUAAGAAAAUAAAAAUGAUGUUUGGAAAUUGAGAUAGUCAAAGCUGUUGCCUUGGUUUUAUUCUAUCAUAAGCAAAAAGACAUCAAAACCAUGCCUUUUGAGCCUAAAAGAAUUUUAUUUAGGUGGAAACAAAUAUGACAGUCAUUUUAUCUUCAAGUUAUUAAGAAUAUACACUAAGUUGUCUUAACAAACCAUAAGAAGCAUCCAGCAAUUAUGAGGUCGCUUAUCUGAAAUCCUAUCUGUAUUGUUUAUUAUAUCUUAUGGGUCACGGUUUAUGAUAUUCUUUUUCCAUUUUUGGCUUCAUUUAUCAAAUGAAACAGGCAUAUCUCUGGUUUGUUAGAUGCCACGUCCAAGCUUUCAUUUCCCUAUUUAACAUUAUCUUGUAAAUGUGGGCUAUCCAGAUGUACACAUGUGCAAUGCACAUGUCAUCUCAUAUAAAACAUAGACAACACCAAAGACUUAGUUUUGCUUCCUUGCAACAUAUUAUAUCUGUUAUUUAAGCUGUAAGGUAGGUGGUUCAAAGAGAUCAUAUUUCCCCUUCCUAUAAUUGAAUUUUUGUUCAGGAUUUUGAGUGUUGGCAGUCAUGUGGGUGAGGCACGCAAUGAUGUCAAGCAUUAUUGCAAAGAGGGUAUCCCCAAAAGUUGAUGUUAUGUGGGUUGGACCAGUAACAAGAUGACACAAAUCAAUAGCCUCUUUACUGAAAAGGACACUCAAAAGUUUUUUCUUUUAGAUUUGUAUCAAAAUCUAUGUCACCAUUGGUUCCUUUGGGGACCCUUUCUCAUUGGUGUUGACACGUUAUUGAAAAUUGGUCCCUUGACUUAAUCUUCUGCAGCUUUUUGAGGAGAUAUUGGUUUGUUGGUUCAAUUGUUUUCAGCUGAAUAUGCCUUUAAUAAACUCCUUUUUUCACAAAAUCCAACUUGUGUUAUCUUUACUUUUUUGCAUUUUGAUGUUCUUGGAACUUUGUUAGUAAAAAGUGGACAUGGCUUCUUGUGGGCCAUUUUUAGAAUCUGUAUUAUGUGGGUGUUAGAGAAUUAUGAUAUAGAAAGCAAUCUGAUAGUAUCUUCAUGAAAAGGUGCUUUUUUAUCUGAUUACUAGUUUUGCUCUAUUAACUCUCUCCUUGAUUUUUUCAUCUGGUCCAUAUGCUUGUUGUUGAUGUGUUGUACUAGGUAUCCCCAACAGGCAAACUUAGUUUUAACAUUAUUUGUUUCCUUUAGUUGACUAUAAGACUUGGUCCUUUAGGAACUUGAGAAGCCAAUAUGAUGUCAGUAAUGAUUUAGCUUAAUGAAGUCAGUUACUAGUAAGUAUUAUUCAUAAGAAAUCCUGGGAAAGUUCUGGAACUUCUAGAAGCGUCACGAAGUUUCCGAGUCAAAGGAUAUGUGCAAAUCAGGAGUUUCUUGUUGCAAGUAUGACUCAAGCACAUGUUUGAAGAUUCUAGGUUUUUGUAUAGAUUGCAGUUGUUUCAAACUCUGUGAGCUGUAAAAAAAACUGGAUAUGUGAGCUGUAAAAACUGGAGCAAAAAGAAAAACUUGCUUUUGGUGACUUCAGUUCAGUAGCAAAUGCAGGAUUUGUGCAAUGCAAGAAUCUGUUUGCUGGGAAUUUACAGACAAAAUCCCUGAAAUUUGGCUAUGAUAAUGCACUUUUAGACAGUUCUAGAAUUGAAGCAGCAAUGAUGAUGCUUGCUUUUGCAUACUUUAAGAUAUUAGAAAAAAAUAAAAUAACAUGAGCAUUUCUAUUUUUGGUAUAGAAGCAAUGAGAGAGGAUGAAAUAGACACCAAUACUUAGCAUGUUAUGGGGAAAUGAGAACCUUUUUAGCUACCAACUUAAAUCAGGUAUUAAUACUUGCAUCAGGGUAUAGGCUCCUAAAUCAAUGUAUCAUGUCCUUUGGUGUGCGAUCACCGUCCUUGAUUGCACUUUAAUGAACUCAGAUUAUUUUGUACAUUAAGUUACCCUUAUUUAGUCCAACUUGUCACUGGCACAAGUAUCAAAUAAUUUUGCUCACUUAAAAUUUAACAAAUUAUAAGAAUCACUUAGUAUGUUAAUAAUAUUUUUACUUAUUUUUAACUUAUCGAUUGAUGUCAACUGCUCGAACCAGCCUCACUUAUUAUGAUUUUUUUGCGUGUGGACCUCCCUUGUCAUAUCCACACACUAAGGCUUCUACCAGACCAUAGGUCACACUACCAAUAAAAUGAUAGCGACUGUAUACAUAUUUCAUUCAGUUUUAGCCUUUUAGGAUUCAUUAAUUAUGCUGUACACCUAUCAUAUUGUCUUAAUCCAAUGAAUUUGUUUUUGAUUAAACCUUAGAAUGUCGACAUGUGUACUACUUCUAAAAGUGUGCAUUUUAUUAAUUUGUUAGUGGACAAUGGGCACAUGCAUAGACUGAAUAAAUAUUAUUAUCUGCCUAAUAACAAGGUGGAAAUCUAGUUAUACAGCAAAAAUAAAAUAAAAAUGCUAUCCCUUUUUAUUUAAAAUGCUAGAUAAUGCCACAGCCCCAGAGAACCUAAUUAAAUACCAGUGAUUACUAAGAAAAAAGAACUAAUUAAACUUAAUCAGCUAAGUACUAAUGUACUAGUUUAUUACUAAUUGUCUAACGUGAUGGUAAACCUAAACAUUGGUGGAAAUUGGAAUUAGCAUUUUUGAAUAGGAAGGUAUUAUUAUACUUAUAAUAUGCAUAUCAUCCUUAAAGUUAGUCCGAAUAAAAUUAAGGAAGAAUAUAAUCCUAUAUUAGUCCGGUCAAAACUCAAAAAAUGAAAAGUAAACUUAUAUGAUCGAC